GGAUCUAUAGCUCAGUUCGUUAGAGCAGCCGUUUGGUAAGCGGGAGGUCCUGAGUUCACCUCUCAAUGAAAGCA
This 74-nucleotide transfer RNA is filed under the name Triticum aestivum (bread wheat). It matches the Rfam family "tRNA". From Rfam's summary of the family: Transfer RNA (tRNA) molecules are approximately 80 nucleotides in length. Their secondary structure includes four short double-helical elements and three loops (D, anti-codon, and T loops). Lineage: Eukaryota; Viridiplantae; Streptophyta; Magnoliopsida; Poales; Poaceae. The record is from Rfam by way of RNAcentral. RNAcentral also lists the same sequence under 1 other name.